Long non-coding RNA from Bufo gargarizans (Asiatic toad), 337 nucleotides. RefSeq lists it as uncharacterized. Lineage: Eukaryota; Metazoa; Chordata; Amphibia; Anura; Bufonidae. The transcript is spliced from 3 exons. The record is from RefSeq and is a predicted model, not a curated record.
AAUGAUGCAGCUAUGUAGUCUGGACCGAGGUCGGAGGGGGAGGGUUGUCAGGAGAGGCAGUGUUACUUACUAGCUGUUAGGACUGCCCUUCCAGGAAUCCUGCAUAAAAGGACCUUGUUCUGGAUCCAGCGGACAUCACGCCGACGCCAGCAACACCCUAAAUAAGGUGAUGGCGUCACAAAAUUACCUUAUUCAGGGGCCCAGCUGCACCCAGAAAAUCUAACUACCAUCAAGUGCACCUCGAUCACCACCUGGCCAGUGUCCCCUAUAAUAGAGCGUGCCCCGAAGAAUUUGGUACUGUUCUCUCCUUCACUGCAGCUCAGCCCAGGGAGCGCCA